CCUACGGGGGGCAGCAGUGGGGAAUAUUGCACAAUGGGGGAAACCCUGAUGCAGCCAUGCCGCGUGUGUGAAGAAGGCCUUCGGGUUGUAAAGCACUUUCAGCGAGGAGGAAAGGGUGUAAGUUAAUACCUUACAUCUGUGACGUUACUCGCAGAAGAAGCACCGGCUAACUCCGUGCCAGCAGCCGCGGUAAUACGGAGGGUGCGAGCGUUAAUCGGAAUUACUGGGCGUAAAGCGUGCGCAGGCGGUUUGUUAAGCGAGAUGUGAAAGCCCCGGGCUCAACCUGGGAACCGCAUUUCGAACUGGCAAACUAGAGUCUUGUAGAGGGGGGUAGAAUUCCAGGUGUAGCGGUGAAAUGCGUAGAGAUCUGGAGGAAUACCGGUGGCGAAGGCGGCCCCCUGGACAAAGACUGACGCUCAGGCACGAAAGCGUGGGGAGCAAACAGGAUUAGAUACCCGUGUAGUC
RNAcentral lists this ribosomal RNA (465 nucleotides) under uncultured bacterium. RNAcentral's name for it is "bacterial SSU rRNA". It matches the Rfam family "Bacterial small subunit ribosomal RNA", at positions 338 to 795 of the family's 1533-position model. The record is from RNAcentral.